This 497-nucleotide ribosomal RNA is filed under the name uncultured bacterium. Its description in RNAcentral is "partial 16S ribosomal RNA". It matches the Rfam family "Bacterial small subunit ribosomal RNA", at positions 28 to 507 of the family's 1533-position model. The record is from RNAcentral.
GAUGAACGCUGGCGGCGUGCCUAAUACAUGCAAGUCGAGCGAACGGACGAGAAGCUUGCUUUUCUGAUGUUAGCGGCGGACGGGUGAGUAACACGUGGAUAACCUACCUAUAAGACUGGGAUAACUUCGGGAAACCGGAGCUAAUACCGGAUAAUAUUUUGAACCGCAUGGUUCAAAAGUGAAAGACGGUCUUGCUGUCACUUAUAGAUGGAUCCGCGCUGCAUUAGCUAGUUGGUAAGGUAACGGCUUACCAAGGCAACGAUGCAUAGCCGACCUGGGAGGGUGAUCGGCCACACUAGAACUGAGACACGGUCCAGACUCCUACGGGAGGCAGCAGUAGGGAAUCUUCCGCAAUGGGCGAAAGCCUGACGGAGCAAAGCCGCGUGAGUGAUGAAGGUCUUCGGAUCGUAAAACUCUGUUAUUAGGGAAGAACAUAUGUGUAAGUAACUGUGCACAUCUUGACGGUACCUAAUCAGAAAGCCACGGCUAACUACGUG